GAUGAACGCUGGCGGCGUGCCUAAUACAUGCAAGUCGAGCGAACAGACGAGGCGCUUGCUCCUCUGACGUUAGCGGCGGACGGGUGAGUAACACGUGGAUAACCUACCUAUCAGAGUGGGAUAACUUCGGGAAACCGGAGCUAAUACCGGAUAAUAUAUUGAACCGCAGGGUUCAAUAGUGAAAGACGGCUUUGCUGUCACUUCUAGAUGGAUCCGCCCUGCAUUAGCUAGUUGGUAAGCUAACGGCUUACCAAGGCAACGAUGCGUUGCCGACCUGAGGGGGGGGUCGCCCACACUGGAACGUGGCCACGGUCCUGGCUCCUGCGGUACGCAGCAGUAGGGAAUCUGCCGCAAUGGGCGAAAGCCUUACGCAGCAACGCCGCGUGAGUGAUGAAGGCCUUCGGAGCGUAAAACUGUGUUAUGAGUGAAGAACAAAUGUGGAAGUAACUAUGCACGUCUUGACGGUACCUAGUCAGAAAGCCACGGCUAACUACGUG
RNAcentral lists this ribosomal RNA (497 nucleotides) under uncultured bacterium. RNAcentral describes it as "partial 16S ribosomal RNA". It matches the Rfam family "Bacterial small subunit ribosomal RNA", at positions 28 to 507 of the family's 1533-position model. The record is from RNAcentral.